Non-coding RNA from Kogia breviceps (pygmy sperm whale), 2485 nucleotides. The record is from RefSeq and is a predicted model, not a curated record. NCBI's taxonomy places the organism in Eukaryota, Metazoa, Chordata, Mammalia, Artiodactyla, Physeteridae.
AUCUUUUCAUAUGCUUAUUGGCCACACACAUAUCUUCUUUGGAGAAAUGUCUAUUCAAGUCCUUUGUCCUUUGCCCAUUUUUGAAUUAGGUUGUUUGUUUUUUGUUGUUGAAUUGUAGGAUUUCUUUAUAUAUUCGGCAUGUUAACCACUUAUCAGAUAUAUGAUUUGCAUAUAUUUUCUCCCAUUCUGUGGGUUUUCUCUUCACUGUCUUGAUGAUGUCCUUCAGUGCACAAAACAGUUAAAUUUUGGAGUCCUGUCUAUCCAUUUUUCUUCUCUGUUGCUUGUGCUUUUGGUGUCAUAUCCACAAAAUCAUUGCCAAAUCCAUGUCAUGAAGCUUUCCCCUAUGUUUUCUUCUAAGAGUUUUAUACUUUUAGCUCUUAAGUUUAGAUCUUUGAUCCAUUUUGAGUUAAUUUUUGUAUGUUGUAUAAGGUAAGAGUCCAACUUCAUUCUUUUUCAUGUGGAUAUCCAGUUUUCCCAGCACCAUUUGUUGAAAAGAUGGCCUUUCCCCCAUAGAUAUGAGAGUUUUUCCCUGGACUCUCUGUUUUGUUCCUUUGGUAUAUAUGUCUGUCCUUAUGCCAGUAUUAUUUUGAUUACUAUAGCUUUGUAAUAAGUUUUGCAAUCAGGAAGUGUUAAUCUGCCCUGUUUUUGCUAUUCAAGAUCCCUUGAGGUUCCAUAUGAAUUUUAUGAUAGAUUUUUCUAUUUCUACCAAAAAUUUCUUUGGGAUUUUGAUAGAAAUUGCAUUGAAUCUAUAGAUCACUUUGGGCAAUAUUAACAUCUUAACAAUUUUAUUAAGUUUUCCAAUCCAUGAGCAUGGAAUGUUUUUCUUUUUAUUUCUGUCUUCUUUAAUUUCUUUCAGCAAUACUUUGUAGUUUCCAGUGUACAAAUCUUUUACCUUCUUUGUGAAGUUUAUUCCUAAGUAUCUUAUUCUUUUUGAUGCUACUGUAAAUUGAAUUAUUUUAAUAAUUUCCUUUAUGGUUUGUUCAUUGCUACUGCAAAUGAUUUUGAUGGUUUUGUAUCAUGCAACUUUGCAGACUUGUUGAUUAGCAUUAACAGUUUUAUUCAUGCACUAUUUAGUAUUUUCUACAUAUAAGAUCAUGCUAUCUGCAAACAGAAAUAAUUUUACUUUUUCCUUUCCAGUUAGAGUGCUUCUUAUUUUUUUUUCUUGCCUAAUUGCUCAGACUUGAACUUCCAGUACUGUGUUAAACAGAAAUGGUGAAAGCAGGCAUCUUUGUCUUGUUCCUGAUCUUAGGGAAAAAGCUUUCAGCCUUUCACCAUUGAGUAUGAUGUUAGCUAUGGGUUUUUUGGGUUUUUAAAAAAUAAAUUUAUUUAUUUAUUUUUCACUGUGUCGGGUCUUUGUUGCUGCACGUGGGCUUUCUCUAGCUGUGCUGAGCAGGGGCUACUCUUCAUUGCAGUGCGUGGGCUUCUCAUUGCAGUGGUAUGGAGCAUGGGCUCUAGGCAUGCAGGCUUCAGUACCUGUGGCACGUGGGCUCGGUAGUUGUGGCUUGCAGGCUCUAGAGCACAGGCUCAGUAGUUGUGGCACAUGGGCUUAGUUGCUCUGUGGCAUGUGGGAUCUUCCCGGACCAGGGCCUGAACCUGUGUCCCCUGGCAGGCGGAUUCCCAACCACUGUGCCACCAGGGAAGUCCCAUGCUAUGGGUUUUUCAUAAAUGCCUUUAUCAUGUUGAGGAAAUUUUCUUUUAUUAAUAGUUUACUGAAUGUUUUUAUCAUUAAAGAGUGUUGAAUUUUGUCAAAUGCUUUUCUGCAUCAAUUGAGGUAAUCAUGUGGUUUUUUUCUUUCAUAUUUUUAAUGCCGUGUAUUCCACUGAUUGAUAUUUUAUGGUGUACCAUUCUUAUAUUCUGGGAAUAAGUCCCAUUUGGUCAUGGUGUAGAGUUUUUUUAUUAUGCUGCUGAAUUUACUUUGCUAGUAUUUUAUUGAAGAUUUUGCAUCAGUAUUCAUAAGGGAUAUUGGCCUGUAGUUUUCUUUUCUUGUAGUGUCUUUGUCUGGCUAUGGUAUCAGCGUUAUGCUGGCCUCAUUGAAUGAGUUAGGAAGUGUUUCCUCCUCAUCAUUUUUCUGGGAAGAAUUUGAGAAAGAUUGGUGUUAAUUCUUAAAGUGUUUGAUAGAAUUUACCAAUCAAGUUAUUUUGUCCUGGGAUUUUCUUUGUUGGGAGGUUUUAGAUUAAUGAUUCAAUCUCCUGCUUUUUAUAGGUCUUCUCAGAUUUUUUAUUUCUUCAUGGGUCAGUUUUGGCAAGUUGUAUGUUACUAGGUAUUUGUCCAUCUCAGUUAUGACCAUUUAAAAAUUGAACUUUUGGCAGAUUGUUUCUGUCUGUUUGAUUUUAUUACUUUCUUGCCUGAGUGAAACUCUCAUUUUAAAUGACAUGUUGUUUCUUUACAAAGUAAAGUACCAAAGGAAUAUGAGAGUUUGGGUUGUAUAUAUUAUUGUUGAUGUAUAUUCUAUUUUUGUCAGAUAUUUAAUAAAAUACUUUACUCU